Molecule: long non-coding RNA, 733 nt
Organism: Nicotiana tabacum (common tobacco)
Lineage: Eukaryota; Viridiplantae; Streptophyta; Magnoliopsida; Solanales; Solanaceae
Source: RefSeq, a predicted model, not a curated record
CAAUCCCUCCAAAUUAUUUUUCAUUUUCCUCCUUAAUAUUAAUUAACUAUUUUUUUAUAUUUUAUUCAUCAAUAUCCUAGAGGAAUGACAAAUGAAAAUCAACUGAAACCCUAGCACUCAAAAUUCAUCUCUAUUUACUGCAGGAUCGAUUACUCUGAACAUCAAAAGAGUUUGAGGCUCUGUUGUUGCAUAGUUGUUGCGCUUCUUCUUCUGCAUCGUCACUCGAGGAAUCCAUGCUAUUUUUCUGAAAUUGAAGGAGCCAAAAGUUGCACCUCUGAGCUUAAGUUAUCAAGUACCAAAGCGGGAAGUAGAAAGGGAAUGGACAUAUAUAUGAUAGAGGACUGUGAGAAACUCAAAGUUGGAGGCAUGGAUACCUCUGAACCUCAUUCAAGUGGUAAAGGAAAAAACCAUCAAGGUAGUGCAGUAUACAAGGCAUAUAGCCCAGUAGACUAGUGGUGAGGUAGUAUAUGGCAUGAGAAGGCAAACAACUAUUCUUUGAACGUUUGCUAGAGAUUAAGUAGUUGUUCAGAUAUCUGGCAUGUGGAAAAUUGCAUCAUGAUCUAGAGUUGGAGAAACUUUCAUGGCACCAUUUAUAUAUAGUAUUAUAGCUAUUUGAUAAUGCCAGUUAUUAGGUGCCAAAUUACGCUAGUUAUUUAAUUCAAAUAUGUUACCUUUUUGGUUAUGUUGUAGACACUUUAAAAUUAUGAAAUAGUAGAUUUUGUUGUGUAUUUAA